GGAGAGGUGGCCGAGAGGCUGAAGGCGGCAGAUUGCUAAUCUGUUGAAGGGCGCAAGCUCUUCCCCGGGUUCGAAUCCCGGCCUCUCCGCCA
Molecule: transfer RNA, 92 nt
Filed under: candidate division BRC1 bacterium ADurb.BinA364
Lineage: Bacteria; Candidatus Sumerlaeota
Description: tRNA-Ser
Rfam family: tRNA
About the family: Transfer RNA (tRNA) molecules are approximately 80 nucleotides in length.
Source: RNAcentral